AUUAUGGGUUUCUCAUGACAACAUCAAACAUGGUCUCUGGCGACCUCCCUUCUUCUCUUCCGUUCCGUCGUUUUUCCUCGAACACUUGGUAUCUCUCACGCUCCACAAACAAAACUCAUCUUCUCUACCUCCACCGCCACCGCCACCUCCGUCUUCUUAUCUUCUCCGACUGUCAGCAACUCCAUCCGAAGCCCUAGUGCAGAAAAUAGGAAAAUCUAUUUGCCAUCCCCGCGCGCCUUCAAAUGCCCAGGAAACUGAAAAGAUUGCUUCUUUGUCAAGAUUAAGCUUGUUUCUGGAGACCCUUUUUGAAAUUGUAGUGAAAAAAGAUCACAUAAGGAGCUUUGGAGUACUUGCUGUGUAUGGUGAGGAGGGUGGGAUUCCAUAUAAGAAAAGUUCUUGGUUGACACUCUUUAAUGUGGAAGUUCCCACGACUAAAGUUUCAUAAAGUAAAGGCAAGUUCUUGGAUGCAAAUCAGGCUUUAGAAGUUGCUAGAAAUGAUCUAUACUAUGAUUGGAGAACUAGGCAAGAUGUACUUGCUCUAAUGCUCCUACACGAAAGUCCUCAGGGUGCUGCACAUUCUUUUCUCUCAUGCAGCAUAUGGGCUGUGAACUAGAUAGAGCUUCAUACAAUAUCUUGGUGGAUGCCUACGGAAGAGUUGUUCUUAAUGAAGGUAUUCUUUUCUCAAUGUUUAAAAGUUGUGUCUCUCGCAUUUAUUGAACAAAAUAGUUUAAGCUAAUCUGGACAACAUGAUAAUUGCAACUUAUGAAUGCAUAUUCAUAUAACGCCCUAAAUAAGGGAAGUUUUCAAUAUGAAAUUGAUGCCAUUGUAAUAUAAGUAUAACAUGAUUGAAAAUGAAGUUUCCAAUCAUGGACUUGCGCCUCUUGAGGUUGACGACAUGCCCAAACAAUCUCAAGCGACCUCUCAUUUGAAACUCAAUGUGUGCUACUUGAAAUGCUGGAUCUAGAAUUGGAGCUUUCACUAAUAUGAUUCCUAGUAACUUCAUGUGUAUAGGUUGCCUAAGAAACUAAAUGUCUUAAUGUUUGCAUUCGGUUCUCUUAGUCUUUGUAUAAAUUGCCUAAGGAACAUAAUGUUUUGGACAUCAUUGUGGAUCAGAAGUUCUUCUUCUGUAUUUCAAUCAUUUGUCUCUAUUUCUGUCAGUCCCUCCCUUGUGUAACUAAUUUCCCUUCACAAGAGAACUCGCAAUCUCUGGAAUCAGUGCGCCUUGGAAAAUAUGCAGAGGUGACAACACUACUGUUUGCAUUGAUUUUUUUUUGUUAUAACCAUUAUUUCUUUGAUAAUCUCAUAGCAACUUCCUAUUGCAGUGGUUUAAUGUUGUCUUCUCGACUGAUAUAUCCGAAAAGUGUGAGAAUGUUUUUAGUCGACUACCAGAAAAGCAUAUAUGCACAGUAUGCCUUUUUCUAUUAUUACAUUCUCCAUUGCUUUAUCUUGGACUUGCUGGUGUAUCUUCUAGCUUUUGUUUAGAAUUAUUGGAACAAUUAGCGUCACUUGUGAUUAUCUAUCAAUUCUACAAUAUUGUUAGUACGUCCAAUAUUUUUCUUUUUCAUCGGUUUCUUCUUCUUUUUCUGUUACCAAGAUUGAAAUAUGAUACUCGGUACUAAUCUGAUACUUUUUUGUUCAUUUACUGCAACAGACUAUGUUGCUGCUCAGCGGCGUAGGUGAUGCAUGUAUACUGAUUAUAUCCUAAAGGUAAUCAGCAGAAUUGGUGUGAGAAUUAUUUCAUGUCUACAAUUUUCCAACAUAAAGGUAAGAUCAUUCCAGUUGUGUGACCACUGAAUAUAGGGGAAACAGUGAUGAAAAUUUGAAGGAUAUUUUUGCAGAUUAACUUCACUCUCCACAUAUUGAAUUGUUUGCCACCAUAUUUUACUGCACAUCCAUUUUUCCACGGGUUCCAACAUAUAACAAUGGGAAGGGCCUGAUUCAUGAGCUUGUGAGCCUCAUUUUUAUAUUGCAUAUUACCCCACUACAUAAAGAGAUUUCUUAGUAUUGAGCAUAUUAAAUACAUGAUUUAUUUCACUAACUUGUAUUUAUAUUUUGAAUGUGCAGGAAAAUGCCGGUAAUUGAAUUUGAAUAGUGGCUAGAAGUAAACUCGAUCCAUUCUAGUGAACAAUGAAGAGUUUUUGUACAAUUAUCAUAUUUGUUUGUAUGCAUUUGGUUUUGUGGAAUUUAUUGAUAGUAUAGAUCUUUAAGAAAUUGCUUUCUAAGUAUUGGUUGUACAAGACAUGUUUCUCGAAGUUUAUUUUAAAUAUAUAGU
Long non-coding RNA from Solanum pennellii, 2272 nucleotides. RefSeq lists it as uncharacterized. The record is from RefSeq and is a predicted model, not a curated record. NCBI's taxonomy places the organism in Eukaryota, Viridiplantae, Streptophyta, Magnoliopsida, Solanales, Solanaceae. The transcript has 5 exons.